Molecule: long non-coding RNA, 1843 nt
Filed under: Homo sapiens (human)
Lineage: Eukaryota; Metazoa; Chordata; Mammalia; Primates; Hominidae
Description: HSALNT0325171
Source: RNAcentral
GCUCUCACACUGUUGCAGGACUUCUCCUUAGUUCAGCUAAAGAUGGAGUCCUUAUCACACAGGCACGAAAAUUGAGGCUUGCAGACAAUUGAAGAGUGAGAAAAACGGGGUUUAUUGGGCAAAAAGAAAAAAAUGGGAAAGAGAGACUUUUAGCAAAGCAAGAGAGUGUUCUUCCUGCCUGUGGGCUUCCCGCCUCGCAGAUUGAAUUCCAGGUUCCACACAGGAAGAGGAGGGGCCAAGCUCCUCCCCUCCGCAAACUGCGUGAACUACUAUGGCUCCGCUCCAGUACGCAGAUAAUGUCACUUGUCAACUGAGGAAUGACAAGGUUCAUAAACCUAGAAAGAAGAGCUUUCUUCUCAUAAAGGGCUGCAGCCUGCAGGGCAGCCAUUGUGACAGGCUGAGAAGCAGAGCCUCCAGCCAGAAGCCAGAAACAGACCCUUCCAGGGGCAGAAGAACAAGACAGGAAUUUAUGCUGAAUGAGGUAUUUGCUGCUCAGAAUUGGCAAAUAGAGGAAUAAACUCUGUUACCAAAUUCCUUAAUUUCAGGAGAACCCAUGAAAGGAGUAUCAUCCAAUCAGGUCAACUCUCUUUGGUUUCCUAAUGUCUAAACAUUUCACAAUUUAUGGAAUUAUGAAAGGAUCCAGCUCCCCAGAGGAUGUGAGCACAUCUGAACACAAUUAUGCACUGCAGCCAGACAACUGUUAGCUUUCUGGGGCAAAAGACACAGAGAAAGACCAGGAUAAUCCUUGUGCGUGCAGCUCAGAUUUGGCCCCUGUCGCCACACGCUGCCAAGCCUGUCACAUUCUGGCAAUAAGGAGCAAUGCUUGGAUGGGGACCAGGACCAUGCUGACAUCUGACCACCUCUGCAGUCUGGGCGAAUUCCAAGAAAUCCCUCAGAAGAAAGUGCCAUGCAGAAAUAUCCUGGCGGGGGAACUGCCCACACAGCUGUGCCAGUUAUUCACCCUCGCCAGAUUCUUCAUGCUCUUUCCCACUUCAAGGCCCUUGCAUUAGCUGUUCUCCCUGACCAUGCACUUGACUCUCAAGAACAUUUAGCCUCCCCCAAGACUCCAUCUUCAGGCCUCCUUCCCUCACCAUCUCCAAGGCUGCGGCUCCAGGACACAAGCUGACCACCCUGCCCAACCCGAAGUCCUCGACUGAUGCUCAGCGCUUAUAGGUUCAAGUCCAGGCUCCCUAGCAUAGCACUGAAGUCAUGGCUCAGUUUACCCUUCCAAGCCUGUCUCCCCCAAGUCCUGCCCUCCUCCUCUCAUCACUGCCAAGUACAUCAAGCACUCCCACGUGGCUGGGCUUUAACCCAAGCUGCUCUCUCUUCCCAGAAGGCUCUUCUCUGACUUGCUGCCAAAACACAAAGUCGCUUGGAGGUGAAGGCAAAUAUUAGUUCAGCUGGCAAGCUCCUCUCCACGUCCUCAUCAAAGCCCCCAGCUCCAUGAGCUUCUGGGCUGUUCCUGUGGAUUUCUGCACUCUCUGUGUUGAAACAUCUGUAAUGGGUUAUAGCUGGGAGUUGGAAUGUCUGCCUCCCUUUUCGCUGAGAAGAAGGGGGUCUUUACAGGAUCGAACGCUCCCUGGGUUCUGUCUCCUUCCUUUCAAUAUAGUGAGCAGUUCCUCCCACCUAGUGGGUUCUCCUUAGAUGUCUGGGAGGUCAUCUAUCCAGUGCUGGCUGUUGCAGAUCUGUGCAGUUGCUUUUUGAACAGGACCCACAUCCGUCUUCCAAAAUAUCUAAAAUUAGGUCUUUGACAGUUCCUGAAAAUGUUAGUUAUCAUAUAAUCCAGCAACUCCACUCCAAGGUAUAUAGCCAAAAGAAUUGAAAUCAUAUUCCACACAAAAAU